CAGCCCUAAACGAUGCGCGUUAGGUGUAUCGGUGACCACGAGUCACCGAGGUGCCGAAGGGAAACCGUGAAACGUGCCGCCUGGGAAGUACGGUCGCAAGGCUAGAAACUUAAAGGAAUUGGCGGGGGAGCACCACAAGAGGUGGAGGCUGCGGUUCAAUUGGACUCAACGCCGGAAACUCAUCGGGAGCGACAGCAGUAUGAUUGCCAGGUUGAUGACCUUACUAGAUUUUCAGAGAGGUGGUGCAUGGCGUCAGUGACU
Molecule: ribosomal RNA, 261 nt
Filed under: uncultured archaeon
Lineage: Archaea
Description: partial 16S ribosomal RNA
Rfam family: Archaeal small subunit ribosomal RNA
Source: RNAcentral